GAUGAAGAACGUAGCGAAAUGCGAUAAGUAAUGUGAAUUGCAGAAUUCAGUGAAUCAUCGAAUCUUUGAACGCACAUUGCGCCCGCCAGUAUUCUGGCGGGCAUGCCUGUCCGAGCGUUAUUUCAACCCUCGAACCCCUCCGGGGGGUCGGCGUUGGGGAUCGGCCCUCCCUUAGCGGGUGGCCGUCUCCGAAAUACAGUGGCGGUCUCGCCGCAGCCUCUCCUGCGCAGUAGUUUGCACACUCGCAUCGGGAGCGCGGCGCGUCCACAGCCGUUAAACACCCAACUUCUGAAAUGUUGACCUCGGAUCAGGUAGGAAUACCCGCUGAACUUAAGCAUAUCAAUAAGCGGAGGA
Molecule: unclassified non-coding RNA, 354 nt
Filed under: soil metagenome
Description: partial contains 5.8S ribosomal RNA, internal transcribed spacer 2, and large subunit ribosomal RNA
Rfam family: 5.8S ribosomal RNA (bases 1-120)
Source: RNAcentral